Molecule: transfer RNA, 82 nt
Filed under: Ipomoea nil (Japanese morning glory)
Lineage: Eukaryota; Viridiplantae; Streptophyta; Magnoliopsida; Solanales; Convolvulaceae
Rfam family: tRNA
About the family: Transfer RNA (tRNA) molecules are approximately 80 nucleotides in length.
Source: Rfam by way of RNAcentral
GUGGGCGUGUCGGAGUAGUUAUCGGGCAUGACUAGAAAUCGUGUGGGCUUUGCUCGCGCAGGUUCGAAUCCUGCUGCUCAUA